RNAcentral lists this ribosomal RNA (482 nucleotides) under uncultured bacterium. RNAcentral's name for it is "partial 16S ribosomal RNA". It matches the Rfam family "Bacterial small subunit ribosomal RNA", at positions 29 to 523 of the family's 1533-position model. The record is from RNAcentral.
AAUGAACGUUGGCGGCGUGGAUUAGGCAUGCGAGUCGUGCGAGAACCGUAGCAAUACGGGGACAGCGGCGAAAGGGAGAGGAACACGUGGAUACCUACCCUCAGGUUCAGGAUAGCUAUGGGAAACUAUAGGUAAUACUGAAUGAUAUCUCCGGAUCAAAGGUGUGAUUCCGCCGGAGGAGGGGUCCGCGUCCUAUUAGCUAGUUGGUGUGGUAACGGCCCACCAAGGCAAAGAUGGGUACGGGGUGUGAGAGCAUGAUCCCGCUCAUUGGGACUGAGACACUGCCCAGACACCUACGGGUGGCUGCAGUCGAGAAUCUUCGGCAAUGGGGGAAACCCUGACCGAGCGACGCCGCGUGUGAGAUGAAGGCCUUCGGGUUGUAAAUCACUGUCGUAGGGGAGGAAAUAUUGGUGGGUUCUCCCAUCAGUUUGACCUAUCCUAGGAGGAAGGACGGGCUAAGUUCGUGCCAGCCGCCGCGGUAA